Molecule: non-coding RNA, 46 nt
Organism: Schistosoma mansoni
Lineage: Eukaryota; Metazoa; Platyhelminthes; Trematoda; Strigeidida; Schistosomatidae
Source: Rfam
GCACUGCUUAGGAGUUCCACAAUAGGACGAAACGGCCGUCCAGUGC